CCUACGGGUGGCAGCAGUGGGGAAUAUUGCGCAAUGGGCGAAAGCCUGACGCAGCGACGCCGCGUGAGGGAUGAAGGUCUUCGGAUCGUAAACCUCUGUCAGCAGGGAAGAACGGUCACUGUGCUAAUCAGCAGUGAAUUGACGGUACCUGCAAAGGAAGCACCGGCUAACUCCGUGCCAGCAGCCGCGUUAAUACGGAGGGUGCGAGCGUUAGUCGGAAUUACUGGGCGUAAAGCGCUCGUAGGCGGUAGGUCAAGUCAAGGGUGAAAUCCCCGCGCUCAACGUGGGAACUGCCUUUGAAACUGGCAAACUGGAGUGUGUGAGAGGAGAGUGGAAUUCCAGGUGUAGGAGUGAAAGCCGUAGAUAUCUGGAGGAACAUCAGUGGCGAAGGCGACUAUCUGGCACAUAACUGACGCUGAGGAGCGAAAGCGUGGGUAGCAAACAGGAUUAGAUACCCUGGUAGUC
This 465-nucleotide ribosomal RNA is filed under the name uncultured bacterium. RNAcentral describes it as "partial 16S ribosomal RNA". It matches the Rfam family "Bacterial small subunit ribosomal RNA", at positions 338 to 795 of the family's 1533-position model. The record is from RNAcentral.